This 253-nucleotide ribosomal RNA is filed under the name uncultured bacterium. Its description in RNAcentral is "partial 16S ribosomal RNA". It matches the Rfam family "Bacterial small subunit ribosomal RNA", at positions 524 to 776 of the family's 1533-position model. The record is from RNAcentral.
UACGGGGGGGGCAAGCGUUGUUCGGAAUUACUGGGCGUAAAGGGCUUGUAGGCGGCCAACUAAGUCCGACGUGAAAUCCCCAGGCUCAACCUGGGAACUGCGUCGGAUACUGGAUGGCUUGAAUUCGGGAGAGGGAUGCAGAAUUCCAGGUGUAGCGGUGAAAUGCGUAGAUAUCUGGAGGAAUACCGGUGGCGAAGGCGGCAUCCUGGACCGAGAUUGACGCUGAAAAGCGAAAGCCAGGGGAGCAAACGGG